AACGCACAUUGCGCCCCCCGGCAUUCCGGGGGGCAUGUCCGACCGAGCGCCGCCGCGCAGCUCAGGAGACCGUCAAAAGUCGCCUGGUGUUGGGGCCUGCGACGAGUGUUCCAACUCCCACGCAGCUCCGAAAUGCAGCGGCGGCCGCUGUAGGCAUCUCCCACGCGCAGUACAAAGGGCCGUCACGCCCCUGCCUGGAACGAGAGCCUACCGGUGGCCCGCCCAACGCUGGCGGUGCGACGCGGUGCCCUCGCGGCGCCGUGCCCACCCCGAACUUUCCAACUACGUUGGCCUCGGGUCGGACAAGGCUACCCGCUGAACUUAA
Molecule: unclassified non-coding RNA, 325 nt
Filed under: uncultured Tubeufiales
Lineage: Eukaryota; Fungi; Ascomycota; Dothideomycetes
Description: sequence contains 5.8S rRNA gene, ITS2, 28S rRNA gene
Source: RNAcentral